Molecule: ribosomal RNA, 611 nt
Filed under: Callinectes marginatus
Lineage: Eukaryota; Metazoa; Arthropoda; Malacostraca; Decapoda; Portunidae
Description: partial 16S ribosomal RNA
Rfam family: Bacterial large subunit ribosomal RNA
Source: RNAcentral
UCUAGCCUGCUCAUGACAUAGAGUGUUAAAUAGCCGCGGUAUCUUGACCGUGCAAAGGUAGCAUAAUCAUUAGUUUCUUAAUUGGGAACUCGUAUGAAUGGUUGGACAAAGAAAAAUCUGUCUCUUGUAUUACAAUUGAAUUUAACUUCUAAGUGAAAAGGCUUAGAUUUACCAGAGUGACGACAAGACCCUAUAAAGCUUUAUAAAUUUAUUUAUUUCGUCUAUUUUCUUUUAUAAUGAUGAUGUUAAGAAGGUUUAUUUGGUUGGGGCAACCAGAGUAUAAUUAAAGAUAACUGCUACAAUUUAAUACAAUGAUUUUUGUUUAUGAAAUAAUUGAUCCUUGAAAAGAUUAAAGAUCAAGUUACUUUAGGGAUAACAGCGUAAUUUAUCCUGAGAGUUCUUAUCAAAGGAGAAGUUUGCGACCUCGAUGUUGAAUUAAAAUGUCUAUUCAGUGCAGCAGCUGAAAAAGAAGGUCUGUUCGACCUUUAAUUUUUUACAUGAUUUGAGUUCAGACCGGCGUAAGCCAGGUUGGUUUCUAUCUUCUGGAAUUUAAUGAAUCACCUUAGUACGAAAGGACUUGGUGGUUAAAAAUUUUUUUAAAUUUUUGAAAU